RNAcentral lists this ribosomal RNA (500 nucleotides) under uncultured bacterium. Its description in RNAcentral is "partial 16S ribosomal RNA". It matches the Rfam family "Bacterial small subunit ribosomal RNA", at positions 28 to 507 of the family's 1533-position model. The record is from RNAcentral.
GACGAACGCUGGCGGCGUGCUUAACACAUGCCAGUCGAACGGGUCUGCCCUGUUUUUUGCGGGGUGGGUCAGUGGCGAACGGGUGAGUAACACGUGAGUAACCUGCCCCUCACUUCUGGAUAACCGCUUGAAAGGGUGGCUAAUACGGGGUGUUCUGGCUGUGCCGCAUGGUGUGGCUGGGAAAGAUUCACUUUUGUGGUGUUUUGGUGGGGGAUGGGCUCGCGGCCUAUCAGCUUGUUGGUGGGGUGAUGGCCUGCCAAGGCUUUGACGGGUAGCCGGCCUGAGAGGGUGGGCGGUCACACUGGGACUGAGAUACGGCCCAGACUCCUGCGGGAGGCAGCAGUGGGGGGUAUUGCACAAUGGGCGGAAGCCUGAUGCAGCGACGUCGCGUGAGGGAUGGAGGCCUUCGGGUUGUGAACCUCUUUCGCCGGUGAAGAAGGUCCUGCUCUUUGUGGUGGGGUUGACGGUAGCCGGGUUAUGAAGCGCCGGCUAACUACGUG